CCGACCGGCCACCGCCGCCGGCCAAGAUCGUGGAGCGUGCCCAGAGCUUCAGCCCGGUCGACGGUGUCGCCACGCAGCGGCAGAAGCCGGCACUACCAGAGCGUCCCGGCACACUGAGACGGAGCAGAAACUCUGGCGAGGCGUCGGCGCCGCCGCCGGAGCCUGCCCCGACCGUGGACGGCCCACC
Pollicipes pollicipes is the source of this 187-nucleotide long non-coding RNA. RefSeq lists it as uncharacterized. The transcript has 3 exons. The record is from RefSeq and is a predicted model, not a curated record. NCBI's taxonomy places the organism in Eukaryota, Metazoa, Arthropoda, Thecostraca, Pollicipedomorpha, Pollicipedidae.